Molecule: long non-coding RNA, 2203 nt
Organism: Tripterygium wilfordii
Lineage: Eukaryota; Viridiplantae; Streptophyta; Magnoliopsida; Celastrales; Celastraceae
Exons: 3
Source: RefSeq, a predicted model, not a curated record
AACUCACAUCACGUAUCCCUCAUGCACGAUUUGCGCCGCUCCUCUUCUUAGCCCUCCAAAAUCUCCCUUUCACGAAUCACCCAACUCUUCUCUUCUUAGCCCAUCAACCUUGCGAAAUUCAUCUCCCUUGAUCGAAAGCUCUUGCUACUGUUUAGUUGUUAGAAAAUGACUCAGUCUGAGGUUGUUGAUUGUCCUCUUGAUGACGAGGAUGAUGACAUCCUUGAUGCGUAUAUGACGAAUUUGGAAAAUAAUAAGGUUCUGUUGAUGUUAAUGUAGGCAGUGGACAUGGAAGGAAUAAGGAUGGUAGUGAUGGCAGUGGAGAUGAUUUCAGUGGUAGUGAUGGCAGUGUUGAUGGAGAUGGCAGUGUUGAACUUUAUGAUAGCGGAGAUGAUGGUGGCAGUGGUGCUUACGGCAUUGGUGGUGAUAUUGGCAGUAAUGAAGACCUCAAUUUGGAGUACGAAUCAGAGAAUGAGGACAUCUUGUUGUAUGAAGAUGAUAGUGAAGAUGGAAUUAGGAGACGUAGGAUAGCAAAUCCAAAGUUCAAUCCUAAGGUUACUUCAGAAGAGUCGAUAUUUGAACUUGGAAUGGAGUUUACCGAUCUAAAAGAGUUUAAGAAUGUUGUCAAGAGUUAUGCAGUUGAUGGUGGCUAUCAGAUACAAUUGGCGAGGAAUGAGAAGACAAGGUGCCAAGCAAAGUGCGAUGAGGGUUGCCCGUGGAUGAUAUGAUGUUCCCAAAUUAAAGGGGAGAGUACUUUUCAAAUCAAGACAUAUGUGUAACAAAAGACUUGAAAACAGACAAGCUGAUAGCACAUGGUUAUCAAUGAGGUUGGUAGACAAGAUAAGGGAGGAACCAAAGAUAAGUGUUGCAGAUUUGGUGACAUAUGCAAAGGAACACAUGUCUUUGGCAAUUUCAAGGACACAUGCAUAUAAAGCAAAGAAGAAAGCCCUGGAAAUCAUUGAAGGGAAGCAUAAAGAACAAUACAGUAAGCUGAGAAGUUACAUAUCCGAGGUUCUAAGGACCAACGUUGGUAGCACAUGCAACUUACUAGUGGAUAGGGAUAGACCAGAGGACCCUGUAGUUUUCAAGCGGGUAUAUAUUUGCUUGGCUCCCUUGAAAAGUGGAUUCCUUGCAUGAUAUAGGCCUUUAAUUGGUCUAGAUGGGUGUUUUUUGAAAACAGUUUAUGGUGGUCAAUUACUUACUGCAGUGGCACACGACAACGCUAAUGGGAUUUUUCCCAUAGCAUGGCCGGUUGUUGAAAGGGAGAAUGGAGAUUCAUGGGAAUGGUUCUUAAGAAAGCUAUUACUGGAUAUUGGAGGGUUUGAUAGGAGGAGAUGGUGCUUCAUUUCUGAUAGACAAAAGGUAUUACAUUUGACACUCUUUUUUAAUGUUAUACAUUCUAUAUUAAUGUACUUACAUUGUGAAUGUGAAACAAACAUCAUGUACAUGUAGGUCAUGGGACUUGUCUGGCAUACCAUGCACUCAUACUGUGGCUAUGAUUGAAUGGCUUCACAAAGAUCCGGCAAACUAUGUGCAUCAAGCAUAUACAAGGGAAACAUAUUUUAGGGUGUACCGACACAACGUGGAACCAACAAAUGGAGAGAACUUAUGGAUUGCUCCUGGUGGUGAUACCAUCAUACCUCCUCCAAUGAAAGUACUAGUUGGAAGACUAACAAAAAAGAGAAGGAGAGAACAUGAUGAGCCUAAGACAAGCAGUUGACUGAGAAGAAGGUAUCCAAAGAUAAAAUGUGGCAAAUGUGGAGAAGUAGGUCGCAAUAGAAGAGGAUGUCAUAAUCCUGCAAUAUCUCAGAAAUGGAAAGCCCUGCUGGAAGAGGGGGAGUUAGGGGCAGGGGUUGUGGUAGAGGUGGUAGAAGGGUUGGUCCAAUGAGAGGGGGUGGCAGUGGUAGGGGCUCUACUACAUCUACUGCAGCAUUUGAUGGAUCAACCAGCCUUAGAAAAAGGACAAAAUCAAAUGCUAGGAGGAUGCCAAACAUUGUUUCUACAAUUCAGGGUGCAACUAGCAGCUCCAGGUACACUGUCAUGUUAAAUGCAACUCAGGAGUCCCUCACAAGAGCAAGGAAGUAGUCAUAAUGUUAGGGUCGUGCUAACUAGAUUAGUAGAUGUUUUGGAACUGGAUAUUUUUGCAUCUGCCUAUGUAUUUGCAGCUGGUUAUCUUUUCAACAAAAUGAUGCUUUUGUUUUUUGUU